GAAACUCAUAAGAAAGGAGCACAGGCUCCAGACGCGCAGGCUCAGUAGUUGUGGCUCACGGACCCAGUCGCUCCGGGGCAUGUGUGAUCUUCCCAGACCAGAGCUCGAAUCCGUGUCCCGUGCAUUGGCAGGCAGAUUCUCAACACCGCGCCACCAGGGAAACUCGGAAUAAAGCCUUUGUGUAGUCAUGAUAUUUGAUUGAUGUAGAAGGCAUGUGGCCAGAUGAUGCAAUUGAAUACUGGUGUUUUAUCUUUACAAGUUCUCCGUCAUUCCAUAAGAAAGCUGCUCGUCUUCUGGUUUCAUAAGAGAUGGUGAACAGUGGGGAUGCAGGUUCGGUCCCUGGUUGGGAAACUGAGAUCCCACAUGCUGCAAGGCAACUAAGCCCGCAUGCCGCAACUACUGAGCCCACGUGCUCUGGAGCCCACGCGCCACAACUGGAGAGCCAACGUGCCGCAAGGAAGAGCCCACGCACUGCAACAAAGAGCCCACGUGCUGCAACUAAUACCCGACACCUCCAAAAAUAAAUAAGUUAAUUAAUUAAAUAAAUUAAAUAAAAUAAUACGAGUGAAUGAACAUAAUGGAUAAUGCCUUAAGAGAAACAAACAAGAAGAGGAAAAAAUUUUUUUAAAUCAAAAAGAAGAUAAAAAGAAUUUUAGAGAAAAGGCAAACAUAAAAGAUAGGCAAAAAAGAGUCAGGACAGCUCUGAAAAGAGAAAUAUAAAUACGUAUAAGGGGCUUUCCUGGUGGUGCAGUGGUUAAGAAUCCUCCUGCCAAUGCAGGGGAUAUGGGUUCGAUCCCUGGCCCAGGAAGAUCCCACAUGCCAUGGAGAAGCUAAGCCCGUGAGACACAACUACUGAGCCUGUGUGCCACAACUACUGAAGCCCACGUGCCUAGAGCCCGUGCUCAGCAACACGAGGAGCCACCGCAAUGAGAAGCCCGCUUGCCACAACUAGAGAAAGCCUGCACACAGCAACAAAGACCCAAAGCAGCCAAAAAUAAAUAAAUAAAUAAAUACAUUAAAAAAUAUAUAUAUACGUAUAAGAAUCUGUUAUACCAUAAAAGUGACAUUUCAAAUUAGUGGGACAGAUUAGUCAACAAAUUGUGAUACAUAAAUGUUGGGGUAUAAAUAUUUCUCUGGAAGGAUCCACAGCACGGCCAAAGCAGAUGUCUCUGAGGAGGGAAAUGUGUGGCUGGGGCACGUGGAGAAAAGGGUCACUUUUCAUUGAAUUCCCUUGUGUACCUUUUCUAGUGUUCUGUCAUGUGAAUCUAUUACCUCUGAAGUUUGCCUGAGUUCAAACCCCAGUUCCCCCAAUUGCUAGCUCUUAAUCUUGGGCAAACUCUUCACACUCUCCAAGCUUCUUUAUCUGUGAAAUAAGGUCAGUAACUUAGCCUGGUGCUGCCUGGCACAGAAUAAACUCUCAAAAAAUGGACAUUAUUAGUGAAAAAACCCCAAAUGCCCAUCAGUGGAUGAAUGGAUUUUUUAAAUGUGGUGGAUAUGUGAAAUAUUAUACAGCCAUAAAAAGGAAUGAAGUACUAACACAUGCUACGACAUGGACGAACUUGAAAACAUUAUGCUAAGUGAAAGAAGCAGACACAGUGGUCACAUUUGUAUUAUUUCAUGAAAUGUCCAGAAAAGGCAAAACCAUAGCGACAGAAAGCAAAUUAAUGGUUGCCAGGACUGAAGGAAGAGGGGAUGAAGAGUGCCUGCUGAUGCUUAAGGGGGCUUCUUUUUGGAGUGAUGAAAACGUGAUGGGUUAGAUGCCAGUGAUGGUUGCAUAGGCUUGUGGAUGUACUAAAUGACACUGAAUUUGCAGUUUCAGAAGGUGAAUUUUAUGGCAUGUGAAUGACAUCUCAAAAAAAUAAUUUUGAAAAUGAAAAUUGCCAGUUUUCCCAUAGUCACUAUCCACUGUCUCCAUCUCUCCCUUCUCCCCACUGCAUUCCUUUUCACGCCCACCCCUGCCGCUCUCUCGCAUCGUCACUCCCUCGAGCUGCCCCACGAGGCCUCCCAGGGAGCCUCUGAACCCCUGGGCGCCUGCGUCCUGUGGCUGUUGGAGCUGCUGCCCAGUGCGCGUGCCCCCACCACUCUCACCGGUGAGAGUGGACGCUUCCGUCGGAUUUUUUCUCAUGCGUUUCAGUUGAUGGUGAUGUUUACAAAAGGCGGCACGUGCCCUGCUCAAUGGAGGAAGCCCCUCAAGUUAAUAUUUAGGCCCCUCCAGAAGUUUGAUCUCGUCCACCAGUAACCUCAGGAUGCUGUGCGCUGAAAGCCAGGUUGGCCGCCUACGGGCAUCUGCAAAUACAGAGGACUUCAGAGGCAUUUGGGCCUCAAAUUGAGUCCUUGUACCUCCACAUGGGAUGUGACCUCAGCCCU
Molecule: long non-coding RNA, 2367 nt
Organism: Balaenoptera acutorostrata (minke whale)
Lineage: Eukaryota; Metazoa; Chordata; Mammalia; Artiodactyla; Balaenopteridae
Exons: 5
Source: RefSeq, a predicted model, not a curated record